CAUGUCCCGCAGCAAUGCGGGAUGAUGGCGACCGGCAAACGGGUGCGGAACACGUACACAACCUUCCUUUAAGUGGGGAAUAGCCCGGGGAAACCCGGAUUAAUACCCCGUAAUAUAAUGGAGUGGCAUCACUUUAUUAUUAUAGCUCCGGCGCUUGAAGAUGGGUGUGCGACUGAUUAGGCAGUUGGCGGGGUAACGGCCCACCAAACCUACGAUCAGUAACUGGUGUGAGAGCACGACCAGUCACACGGGCACUGAGACACGGGCCCGACUCCUACGGGAGGCAGCAGUAAGGAAUAUUGGUCAAUGGACGCAAGUCUGAACCAGCCAUGCCGCGUGGAGGAUGAAGGUCCUCUGGAUUGUAAACUUCUUUUAUCUGGGAAGAAAUGCAUUUUUUCUAAAGUGUUUGACGGUACCAGAUGAAUAAGCACCGGCUAACUCCGUGCCAGCAGCCGCGGUAAUACGGAGGGUGCAAGCGUUAUCCGGAUUCACUGGGUUUAAAGGGUGCGUAGGUGGGUUGGUAAGUCAGUGGUGAAAUCUCCAGGCUUAACUUGGAAACUGCCGUUGAUACUAUCAAUCUUGAAUGCCGUGGAGGUCAGCGGAAUAUGUCAUGUAGCGGUGAAAUGCUUAGAUAUGACAUAGAACACCAAUUGCGAAGGCAGCUGGCUACACGAAAAUUGACACUGAUGCACGAAAGCGUGGGGAUCAAACAGGAUUAGAUACCCUGGUAGUCCACGCCCUAAACGAUGGAUACUCGACAUACGCGAUAUACUGUGUGUGUCUGAGCGAAAGCAUUAAGUAUCCCACCUGGGAAGUACGAUCGCAAGAUUGAAACUC
RNAcentral lists this ribosomal RNA (837 nucleotides) under uncultured Flavobacteriales bacterium. RNAcentral's name for it is "bacterial SSU rRNA". It matches the Rfam family "Bacterial small subunit ribosomal RNA", at positions 70 to 902 of the family's 1533-position model. Lineage: Bacteria; Pseudomonadati; Bacteroidota; Flavobacteriia; Flavobacteriales. The record is from RNAcentral.